Molecule: ribosomal RNA, 443 nt
Filed under: uncultured bacterium
Lineage: Bacteria
Description: bacterial SSU rRNA
Rfam family: Bacterial small subunit ribosomal RNA
Source: RNAcentral
CGGCCGCGUCGACACCUUACCAGGUCUUGACAUCCCGAUGCAUAGUGCAGAGAUGCAUGAAGUCCUUCGGGACAUCGAGACAGGUGGUGCAUGGUUGUCGUCAGCUCGUGUCGUGAGAUGUUGGGUUAAGUCCCGCAACGAGCGCAACCCUUAUUGCCAGUUACUACGCAAGAGGACUCUGGCGAGACUGCCGUUGACAAAACGGAGGAAGGUGGGGAUGACGUCAAAUCAUCAUGCCCUUUAUGACCUGGGCUACACACGUACUACAAUGGCGUUUAACAAAGAGAAGCAAUACCGCGAGGUGGAGCAAAACUCAAAAACAACGUCUCAGUUCAGAUUGCAGGCUGCAACUCGCCUGCAUGAAGUCGGAAUUGCUAGUAAUCGCGGAUCAGCAUGCCGCGGUGAAUACGUUCCCGGGCCUUGUACACACGUCGACGCGGCCG